CCAGGGUUGGGGAGAGAGAGAUUUGUGCAUUACUACAAACAUGUGGUGCAUUGCCUACCUCUUCACUUCUCCAUUUGAGCUUAUUCUUGCUGCUUUUGGAAGCUGAGACUGGAAUGACCCUUUGUGCAUCGUUUGUGAACUGGCAGUUUAAGUAAUUGGAUAAGUAGUGUACCUUCUACCUGCUGUUAUUGAACAAGAUUACCCUCCGUUAUUCCCUUCUGAACUCGGACUGAACUGUCACUUUGAGAUCUGUAUAGACAUGGCAGGCAGGAUGUGAAAUUCCUCUUUGUUAUUUAGACUCUACCUCAUGCAGAUUUAUUGUUUGCUAUGUGAAAUGUUUUAAAAGCAUUAUUUGGAUUAGCUGAGAAGAUCCAUUCAUCUACCUGGAAUCAUGGAUGUUUAUGAUUCUUUGCGUUUCUUUUCAACUUGGCUAGGAUCCUGAGAUUUCUGGAAUGAAAGAGAAGAAAAUGAUAUUUUAGAAUCUUAACCAGAUGAUUUGUGGUUUCUAACCCUGACCGUGCUGAAAAUCCACUUCCACUUCGCUCACACAGGCUGUAGUGCUGAGCUCCUGUAAUGAAAACCAAAGAAAUGCAGUGCCUGGAAGAAUGAGAGAUGGGGAAUGAAGUUGAUUUAAAAUAUCCUUUUCAAAUUAAGGACUCAUGUAGGAGACCAGUGACAUGCAACGUUGAAUUAUACCUAUUUUAGAAAAUUUCUGUUAGAAAGAAGGAGUUAGAUCAGGAGACAACAGUAGGCUCCAGGAAGAGGAACAGCAAGUAGAACUGUGUAUUUAGAAAGAACCAUAACAGGGCAAAUGUUCGCUUUUCCACCUGCUGUUGCGACCUCUUAGUAUGUGUGCCAAUUUAAACAGUUUUAUGGUGAUUGUGGAGAUUGCUAGGAGCUUAAACCCACUUUGUUCUAGGGAGACAGCCCACUUUAAAUUUGUAAAGCAUGGCCGCAAAUGGUGGAAAGAGGAGUCUUAAAUUCCAUAAGUAUUGACUAAAUUUAAACCCAGAGAGCUGGUUCUCUUUCUGCACUCCCAGCAACACUCCUUCUCUCUCUCCACCAGCACCC
This is a long non-coding RNA of Rhincodon typus (whale shark), 1071 nucleotides long. RefSeq lists it as uncharacterized. The record is from RefSeq and is a predicted model, not a curated record. NCBI's taxonomy places the organism in Eukaryota, Metazoa, Chordata, Chondrichthyes, Orectolobiformes, Rhincodontidae. The transcript has 3 exons.